Long non-coding RNA from Daktulosphaira vitifoliae (grape phylloxera), 461 nucleotides. RefSeq lists it as uncharacterized. The transcript has 2 exons. The record is from RefSeq and is a predicted model, not a curated record. Lineage: Eukaryota; Metazoa; Arthropoda; Insecta; Hemiptera; Phylloxeridae.
UUUUUCUUAUCAAUAAAAAGUCACAUCCUUGCGAUCUAGAUUAGUCAUUUUAUUGAGAUUACAGUCAAUUUGAUUUCUUCAUUUUUAGUUUUAUCUUAAAUUUUAAAACGUAGAGAUAUUUUUCACUUAUACCGACAUCAUCAUGAGUUUAGUAUCUAAAUUAAUCGGCAGGAAGUAUAUUUCCCAAACAGCCCAAUAUAUUCCAAGUGCUGGUUUUUAUGGAGUCACUGGAUUUACUAUGCUAUGUUAUUUCACAGAUUGGAAAUUAGUGUUACAAUAUGUACCCUUUUAUAAUACUAAAUUCCCAAAGGUAGAAGAAGAAGAAGAAUAGAAACAUAAGAAUACAAUUUAAUAUGAUCACUAAUUAGUAAUAUAAACGGUUGAAAAAUCUUCUGUCAAAAUAAAUUUUUUUUUUUUUAGGUAAUAUAUUAUUAAAUCAAUAAACAAAUUGAAACUGUUAA